UCGCGCGGUUUAUUAAUGACGAUGAUAUCUUCAUCUUCAUAGACGAUAUCCAGCGGGAUAUCCUGCGGUUCAAAACGCGCUUCUUCUUCAAUCUCAGCGUUGAUGGCAACCUGCUCGCCACCCAAUACUUUUUCUUUCGGCUUAUCACAAAGUUUGCCGUUAACCAGCACGCGCUGGUCGAGGAUCCAUUCUUUUAUUCGCGAACGUGAAUAAUCCGGGAACAUUUCGGCCAAAGCCUGAUCUAAGCGUUGACCGAGUUGGUUUUCGGACACCGUUGCAGUGAGCUGUACUCGUUGUGCCAUAUAUACUGCUUCUUCGUUUAUCGUUGGGGUUUUACGGCUUUGCCGUUUAAUAUAGUGUGCUAUUGUAGCUGGUCUUAACCGGGAGCAGGAACAGAGAAUCUCCCGUAUUACAUUUUGAGGAAAGUCAAAACGUCAUGACGCGCAUGAAAUAUCUGGUGGCAGCCGCCACACUAAGCCUGUUUUUGGCGGGUUGCUCGGGGUCAAAGGAAGAAGUACCUGAUAAUCCGCCAAAUGAAAUUUACGCGACUGCACAACAAAAGCUGCAGGACGGUAACUGGAGACAGGCAAUAACGCAACUGGAAGCGUUAGAUAAUCGCUAUCCGUUUGGUCCGUAUUCGCAGCAGGUGCAGCUGGAUCUCAUCUACGCCUACUAUAAAAACGCCGAUUUGCCGUUAGCGCAGGCUGCCAUCGAUCGUUUUAUUCGCCUUAACCCGACCCAUCCGAAUAUCGAUUAUGUCAUGUACAUGCGUGGCCUGACCAAUAUGGCGCUGGAUGACAGUGCGCUGC
This 809-nucleotide ribosomal RNA is filed under the name Escherichia coli 95.0083. RNAcentral's name for it is "partial 23S ribosomal RNA". The record is from RNAcentral. Lineage: Bacteria; Pseudomonadati; Pseudomonadota; Gammaproteobacteria; Enterobacterales; Enterobacteriaceae.